This 2122-nucleotide long non-coding RNA is filed under the name Triticum aestivum (bread wheat). RNAcentral describes it as "long non-coding RNA (TAES_LNC005652)". Lineage: Eukaryota; Viridiplantae; Streptophyta; Magnoliopsida; Poales; Poaceae. The record is from RNAcentral.
UAGCAGUUUUAGUCAGAGAUGCAGUGUAUUGACAUGAAGCUUCGAUUGGCGGAAAGCUGGCCAAAUUUUCUGGUAUAUUAUCUGUAUUCUUUGGUAAUCUGCUUCUCAUAACUUGACCCAGUUCUCAUUGAUUGCCUGGUUUCCAGUGUGGUCUUUUACUUGCUCUGUUCAUGUGUUUGCAAGACGUUUAAACUGUUGGGCGUUAUAACAUGUCUGUUCUUUCUUGCAAUUGUCAUUGCAUCGCUAUAGGCGGCAAUUUAGGUUGUUUUUUGUCUGGAAAACUGCAGAAUAUGUUCGGUAAGUAAAAAUCCAAAUGCCCUUAAAACUGGCCAGAUUCGGAGAUCUUUUUACAUGUUCAUGGAUUACUGGUUUAUGAAUUUUCUGUAUACAACCAAAUUUUAUGGUCCAUGUAUCCAGUAUGUUAGACUUCCAUCCUGAAUUUUUGUUUGUUAGGUUUACCCUGAACUUGUUUAUGAUGUUAGGGUGCAUCAUUAUCUUGCUACUGUUAGUGGUCUACUGUGCAUUUUUUACGUGAUGUGCAACUUUUAUACAGUAUUUUCCAUUAUAUAGCAUUCUGCCUCUGUAAGAGUAUAAGUAAAUGCUCCUAACCUUAUUCAUGGAACUUUGUGUAACUAUAGCACCUUUUCUGUUUUCCUCUAAAAUAGAUGUAUAUUUCAAGGAAGCAGAUUCAUAACUAAAAUUGUGGUAUUACAGGAAAAAUCAGUUCUUGCAAAACAUCAACAGGAGACAGGCACACUGAUUGUUUAGGGCGGAUGCUCUUAGGUACCAGGAGUAUGUUGUUACCUAUGAAGCAAGGAUGCUGACUGCAUGCUCGUUGGUGGGUUCCUAAAUUUUGUGGGUUGUGAUAUCCAUGCACCUAAACAUAUGAUGUUUUAUUGUGGCAUUCUUCUCUUACAUGCAGUACUUUUGCCCACUCGGGCAAUAUCCCUUUUGCUAUUCUCUAUUGAUGUAACUUUGGUUAGAGAACUUGGGAGAUCUUGAUAGAACUUGUACCACAAGUGGAUCACCCUUUACACCAGCCUUUUAGAGUUGAUGAGCUUCAUAGAAUUUGUAAUAUGGUAGCUCAGACUUCUACACAAGUGGUUUACCCUUUUCACCAGCCUUUCAAAGUUGAUUUUUGCAGUAGUUUUCAAAACAUACUCUGCAAGUUGAUGCCCCCAUGUGUAAAAAUUGCUAUUUGGGUAAUCAAGUCUUCCAAGUUCUCCAUGAAGCCAAGCUUGCUCUUCCUUUUCUUUCUAAAAUACCCAAUGUACAUACACUGUUUCUGUAUUUUUUCACUCGCCUUUAUCUAUGUAUCCUCCUAUAAUUUGUAUGCUAUUGGCCUUUUCCUAUACGCAGUUGAAUGAGUCAUCACGUACUCUUUAGCUAUUAAGGUAUACCUGUCCAUGCAUCAUUUACAGCUUGUUUACCACUAUAUGUCGGAAACUGAGAAUCAUGAGGCUCUGAUGCUGCUGGAGUGGGGAUUUAUGUUCAAACACACUAGUAUGUAUGUAAUACUAAUACUUCACAUUGUUGUUUAUGAAGUUUUUAUAAAAAAAUAUUCGCAUGGAAUCCGAUGCUCCCUCCAUUGUCAUGGUUUUAUAUUUAGUUUCAUUGUUUGUUGGCAUUCCUUAUUAAUAAGCUAGUCCUUGUUGUAAUUUCAUGUAUAUUAAAUUGAGUGCUUAAAUUGUCCGUUGUUUCUCGGUGACCUAUGAAAUAGAGCAGACUUACAAUAUGAAUAGUAGGCUUUCAGUUCCACGCGCAAAUACAAUUGGUGAUUAACAAAAGUUCAAAGAAAGAAUGCAAAUCAAUUAUUGAUAUUUGCUCAAAGUCAUUAAAAAUCUGGGAGUUUCCAGGGAACACAUAUGGAACUGGGAUAUGAGGGUUUCUACAAGUUUUGGGCUUCAUAUUCCAACAAGUUCCAGUCAAAGCCAAUUUCAUGUUUCUGUUUUUUGUCAGCAGCUUGCUAAUAAUGCACAUUUCUCUAAAUUGCCAGUUACCUUUGAGUUGAUACAUUUUACUAUCUCGAGAUUCUUGUGGCAUUCCUGAACAAUUUCCGUUGAUCCAAAUUCUCAUCCCUCAUGUUAUGGGCCUCAAAGAGCGGCUGGAAGACUCAUUUAAG